GAUGCUGUAGUUCAGUGGCAAGAGCACCGGCCUGUCACGCCGGAGACGCGGGUUCGAGUCCCGUCAGCAUCG
Molecule: transfer RNA, 72 nt
Filed under: Clostridiales bacterium
Lineage: Bacteria; Bacillati; Bacillota; Clostridia; Eubacteriales
Description: tRNA-Asp
Rfam family: tRNA
About the family: Transfer RNA (tRNA) molecules are approximately 80 nucleotides in length.
Source: RNAcentral